GUUGAACGCUAGCGGGAUGCCUUACACAUGCAAGUCGAACGGAGUGGCGAACGGGUGAGUAAUGUAUCGGAACGUGCCCAGUAGCGGGGGAUAACUACGCGAAAGCGUAGCUAAUACCGCAUACUUUUGGAGCGGCCGCUCUCGGAGUCGCGAGUUGGUGGGGUAACGGCUCACCAAGGCGACGAUCGGUAGCUGGUUUGAGAGGACGACCAGCCACACUGGGACUGGGAAACGGCCCCGACUCCUACGGGAGGCAGCAGUGGGGAAUUUUGGACAAAGGGGGAAACCCUGAUCCAGCCAUCCCGCGUGUGCGAUGAAGGCCUUCGGGUUGUAAAGCACUUUUGGCAGGAAAGCGGUACCUGCAGAAUAAGCACCGGCUAACUACGUGCCAGCAGCCGCGGUAAUUC
Molecule: ribosomal RNA, 407 nt
Filed under: uncultured bacterium
Lineage: Bacteria
Description: partial 16S ribosomal RNA
Rfam family: Bacterial small subunit ribosomal RNA
Source: RNAcentral